This is a non-coding RNA of Varroa destructor (honeybee mite), 3721 nucleotides long. NCBI's taxonomy places the organism in Eukaryota, Metazoa, Arthropoda, Arachnida, Mesostigmata, Varroidae. The record is from RefSeq and is a predicted model, not a curated record.
AAACAUACAUAUCAUAUAGAUACUAACAAAAGUGAUCGAGACUUUGUAGUUUUGGAUACGAUAAGAGGCAUUUACUUUAAAAAUGGAUUCCUAUGUCAGUAGCCAGUUGGAUAAUCAGAUCGGACAGGAGAUUCAAGGGGGAGUCAAUAUGUUUGAGAGAUUCCUAAUUGAGGCCAUGCGGGAAUGCCUUGAACUGAAAGAGCAGGAGGCGCUGCUACUAGAACCAAGCGAGGCCAAUGUGUGGUGUUCGCGCGCGUGGGACGGAUCGCUAUGUUGGCCACCAAUGAAGAUAGGAGAAAUGAAGCAGGAACGUUGUCCCGAUCUUCUUGCUCGGCACGACACGAAUGAAUUCGUAGUGCGAACGUGUACAGUCUCCGCAGACGAAUCCGAUUUUGGCGGGAGCUCAAUGAGACAAUCAUCUGGAAUUGAAAGAACGCUUUUGAUCAACACGACGGGCGAUGGCUUGAGUGAUUAUUCGAGAUGCGUCGCUUCAAAAACAAGACAUAACGAGAUCGUUCGGCUAUAUCAGGUGCAUAUUCCCUUGGUGAAGAUAAUCAACCGUUUAGGCUAUUCUACGUCUCUGAUCCUGUUACUUGCGGCCUUCCUUGUUUUUUCUAGUUGUCGACGACUACGAUCUGCGCGAAAUCAGCUGCAUUGCCAGCUGUUCGCGUCGUAUGUGCUUCGGGCGAGCGUCAUUCUCACUAAAGACCUUCUUUUUGUGGACGGAGUGGGUUUUCGAAGGGACCUAGAAUCCAACCAAAGAUGUCCGUGGUGUAAGGCGUUUAUGUGCCUCUUUCAUUACUCCAUACUUGCCAACUACGCGUGGAUGUUCGUCGAGGGCCUUUACCUUCACGGACUCGUCUACCGUGCACUGCAUUCGUCACAACACAAAGCAUCCUUCGGAACGCAGGCUACGCUUGCGACCUGGAUUGGUCCGCUAUGGAUCAUCAUCCCAUGGGCAAUUCUUCGAUCAAAACUCGACAAUCGGUUAUGCUGGACAACGAACGAGAGCCUAUGGCUUCUAUGGCUUCUGCAGGCACCAGUUUGUAUUACAAUUGUGCUCAACUUCUGUUUAUUUGUACGCAUCGCUCGAGUGCUUCUAAAUCGCGUUGUACGGCCAGAGGUUCAGCCAGCCUCCACUAGCCAUCAAUACACGUACAGGGAAUGGUUUAGGGCCUCGCUGAUUCUUAUACCGUUACUGGCAUCUCACUACAUUGUGUUGUUAGCUAUGAAUUUACUCGCUAACAUUUUGCCUCCCGUUGUGGAAAUUGUUUGGUUCUACAUCGAUGCGUUAUUUACGUCAUUUCAGGUAAGUUUCAUAUACAGCCAAUUAUAACUUUUAAUAAAAAAAAAACAUUGAAGAUUGACGUAUGCUGCUAUCUCCUGUUGGUUUUAAAAAUGCUGAAAAUCAGACCAAAACGUCCAUCUCAUUUUUUUUUUAAUCAUAAUACUAGACCUACGUAAUUCAACAGUAGCUAACACCUAGCCUGACUGUUGAAUAGUUUAAGAUCUAUUACAGUUUUUAAAAGGUACAAAAAAUCUGCUAUUCACCUGUUGCUCAAGUGAAAUACGUCGUACUCGUAUCAGAAGUCGUACUCGAAGCUCGUCAGAAGUCGUACGUAAUUUUAUAGGUUAUUGCAUAAAACGUAUUUUAAACAUGCAGCGUUGAGCAAUAGAAUUAACGAUUUUUUUUCUACAUUUGCAUUUAGAUUACAAUAGUCAUGCGCUAACUAGUUUCGAUCAGAAAACUCCCCAGUCAGUUCAUACCGGGUUCUCCAAAGAGGAACUCUAUCCCAGACGAUCGCAUACUUUAACUAUAAAGGCAAAAAACUAUCUGUAUUUGAUGGCUACGAUCAAAGUACUCUAUGUAAUACUGCCUACGUCAUAUCGGAAUCCUUGGGAGCUCGACACGUACAAAUCUAGCCCCGUAAAAAUUAAGCUCUGGAAGCAACCGAUAGACGACGCUGAAAAAAUUUUCACCGAAAGAAGAGGGCGGCUUAUCAAAUUUCCUGAAAAUCGAAAUUACCGAAUAUUACUUAAUUUCAUGCGUUCGCCAUAUACUUCAGUCUGUACACGGACGUGCACAAUGCACGACUGCAAGUGCAUCUAACUUUGUUCAACUUAAAUUAAAGAAGCAACAUUAAUAUCUGUAUGGGCAUUUAAUCGAAUUAAUUAACCUUGUUAUUUUCUCCAACAAAGUUCCUCAUAUAACUGCCACAAGUCGUGGUACUAAGAGAAAAAGAUACCUAACGUGUAAUUUUAAUCUACUUCGUGUUAUGGUGCAAGUAUCUUAUUGUUAUGUCGUUUUGAAUAAAAAAAUUUGUAUGUUUCUCUAUAUUAUUCGAAGGCAUUUACUUGUCUGCUUUAAAUAACGUCUGCCUAGCUAUAUUUGUACCGGUCGCACCCCACAGUAGCUCCAGUAAGAAGCGACACUUAACAACGCUACGGCACGAUGAUAUACAAACAAAAAGAUGCGUAGUCAUGAAAUAGAUGUCACGGUAAAAAACGCUGGCACAUAUAUUACAAGAACGAUGUAUACCAUCAGAGGACUAGUGAUAAAGGACGAGGAAUUUUUUGCAGCUGUUAGCCGAAGCUUUUAAAAAGUCCUAUAGAUAACGCAGGCAGACAGUAGAUUGUGGUGUAAUGAAGCGUACGUGUGUUUAUAGAGAUGUUGAAGGUCGGUCAUUUGAUGGCUAGACGCACUGCUGAGGUUAUUUGAGUAAUAAUUUUAUUAAAUCUUUGUUCAUUAACAUGAGCAAUACGAGCACACGACAAUUUUAUGACUUGUCAUGCGGCAAGCAACCCAUCAGUGGUAAAUUAUGAAUUCAUGGAAGCCCAAGACGAACUAAAUAAAAGUCUAGGCAAGUCGUUCAUUUUGACUAACGCUUAUAAACGGUAACGCGUUUUAUGAACACGAGACUCGUAUAUUACAUCAUACAUUACCCUAUAGGCUUGCCCUUUUAUAAUUUUGGCCUCUAGAGCUCACACAUCUACCGUCUUCGGCCGCAACUCUCUUUGCUUAGCAAUGGGAUACUUUAAAAAGAGUCAAAGCCGAGAUCCAGACAAAUGUUUCGGUUGCAUUGCUUUAGGGCCAGAACCUGCUUUACAUUGGAUGCAAUGCGCGACAUCGUGGAAAAAACUGUUUUAUCGACAGCUGCCGGAAAACAUUGAUUUGUGUUAGUGGAAGAUUACCUAAUAUUCGUUGUAAGUUAUGCAACGAUUUUCACCGAAACACGUAGUGAGUGUGGGUAGAGUUGCCACUUAUAAAUGGCGAGAGUGUAACUUAUCUGCCUAGUCAUAGCUUUGUGCAAAGCAAUGUAACGAACUGUAUUUACUACGAUCAUGUUGAAAGUGUCUUCAAAAGUACGCCAUAGCCAAGUUCGUUUUAUAAAAUCAUUUUAAAGUACUUUCUCAGUUUGUGGGUCGAUCACGCAGCGGACGUUGAACCUGAGGUCCUGUCACUUGAGGGUCGGGUAGGUAAACGAGGCCUCAUUUAUUUUGUCUUAGAUAAAACGUUUGUACCAUGUUUAAGUAUUUUCCUACACUGCUUAAAGUAGAACUAAUUAAGAUAGAAAGCCAUAGCUGAACGUAAGUAGUUUCAGAUCUGUAGUGACAAACAAUACUUUUAGGUGAGGAAGGACGUCCGCGACGUCGAAUCAGCUCCUUCAUUGUCUCCGCUACCGAAGCAGUAUCACCUCCUGACAUUAGUAUGAAGGACAAA